Molecule: transfer RNA, 72 nt
Filed under: Deltaproteobacteria bacterium
Lineage: Bacteria; Pseudomonadati; Myxococcota; Myxococcia
Description: tRNA-Thr
Rfam family: tRNA
About the family: Transfer RNA (tRNA) molecules are approximately 80 nucleotides in length.
Source: RNAcentral
GCCGAUGUAGCUCAAGGGCAGAGCAACUGAUUUGUAAUCAGUGGGUUGGAGGUUCGAUUCCUCUCAUCGGCU